UACGUAGGGUGCGAGCGUUAAUCGGAAUUACUGGGCGUAAAGCGUGCGCAGGCGGUGAGGUGUGUCCGAUGUGAAAGCCCCGGGCUUAACCUGGGAAUGGCCAUGGAAACUGGCGAACUGGAGUGUGGCAGAGGGGGGUGGAAUUCCGCGUGUAGCAGUGAAAUGCGUAGAGAUGCGGAGGAACACCGAUGGCGAAGGCAGCCCCCUGGGCUAGCACUGACGCUCAGGCACGAAAGCGUGGGGAGCAAACAGG
This 253-nucleotide ribosomal RNA is filed under the name uncultured bacterium. RNAcentral describes it as "partial 16S ribosomal RNA". It matches the Rfam family "Bacterial small subunit ribosomal RNA", at positions 524 to 776 of the family's 1533-position model. The record is from RNAcentral.